GUGUCAGUUACUCAUCUCAAAGAUCUAAGUCCAAAUGAAGAAGUUUGAAGCUCCGGGACCUGCUUGCGUGUUCUCAGGGAGUGUCUUUCCAGCAAACACUUCCCACUCUGUGUCCUGACUGGUGUUGUCCAUACCUGGAUGAGGGCCCGCUUCUCAGUAGCGAGAUCGUACCCUUUGUUAAAACCAAGGCUGUGGAAAAUAAGUCCGCUGAACAAUGCUUGCUGGGGAUACAGCAGUCAUGCCAACACUGCCUAAGUGAGAAAGUCCCUGUUAUGUCUCUGCUCAGGUAAUUUUCUGUGGCUGGCAAUAUAAAAGACAGAACCAAACCCAUACAAUCCAGAAGCCUGAAAACAAAUUCCUCAACCCGCCGGGACGUGGUGUAACCUAGAGUCUGAACGAGGGACUGGGCUGUGGCAACGACCGCGGGAGGAGCGGAGCAGACCCGAUCCUCCCAACCAUAGGCUCUCAUAACACGUCACCCCGUUACGGCUUGGCGAGGCAGCAGGCUUCGCGAGGAGCUGUGCUUUAAACUCACAGGGCAGUUUAAUGUAAGAGCCAACUCCGACCUCACAUCUGUUUUAAUUUAGAUCCUCAUUUAUUGUAGAAGUCAUGAAAUACUCAACAAAAUUUAAGCUCGGCGUUUGAUUAAAUGCCCACCAAUUUACCCACAUUCCCUGUACAACGUGAGCCUGGAUUUUACCUGAGCCGGUGAAGAAUUGCAUCGGCCAGUUUCAUCACCUUUUCCCUUGUCAGUGCCCAUGGGGAGCCGUCUCGGGUAGGAUCUGUGUGCCGGCAGCCGAGUCGUCUAGUACGAGCCCCAGUCUUCUUUUGCAGUGUCGCUAGCUGGCUGACAGGCGAAGAUGACAAACGUUUGUUACCAGGACACCGCCGAGGACUGAUUGGUACCUUUCCCUGUGCAAUGCCAGCUCUGAGUGCCGACUGCGAUGCGAAUUUAGCCUCAACCUCUCCCCUGAAGUCCAGAAUUCCAACCUGCCGUCCCCACUGGGAUGCUCAGCAGACACCUCAACUCCAUCUUGCCUGUACUGGCUUCCCGAGGCUCCCUGGGCCGGCCCCACCGCAGCCUCCCUGCAGACCUCCACUGGCUCCUGCCCAAAGUGGCCCUUCUGACCUGAAUCCUACGCCGAUCAGAGAAUGAAGUGGAACGGAGAAGCUCCAAGAUUCCUGGCUUACAAGUGCCUCUCUGCACCUGCUCAGGGUGCCCAAUCUUUUGUCGGAGGCCCUCGACUCUUGGAGCCUCUUAGGAGCUCCUGACACGGAGGACCUUCAGUCAGGGCUAGGCGGGUGCAGACGAGGGCUCCUCACAGGGGUCAGGCCUGGUCAUGCCCUUUCUGACCUCCUCGGCCCCCCAGUCUCGACCUCCUCGCCACAUCCCCUGUGACCUUAAGCUCCACAUCUGCCACGAUUCGCUCACGAUGACCACCCCAGCGGCCAGGAGCCGAGGCCGGCUUGGGUCUUCCUCGGUUAUUGCAAUCGGUAGCGUUACAGUAAAUCAAACCAGGCUGCAGCCUCAGCAAUAAAGCUGAGACUUUGCUCCUUUGUCUUAUUUUUAGAUAUCCUUAAAUGCAGCGCCGUUCAUAACAGAAUGAGUGAAAUUCAUGAUGACUGUCUAGAGUUGGUAAAGCGCUAUUAGCUGAAAAGACCGGUUGCUUUCUCAAACUCUUAGCACGUGUCUG
This is a long non-coding RNA of Tupaia belangeri chinensis (Chinese tree shrew), 1694 nucleotides long. RefSeq lists it as uncharacterized. The record is from RefSeq and is a predicted model, not a curated record. Lineage: Eukaryota; Metazoa; Chordata; Mammalia; Scandentia; Tupaiidae. The transcript is spliced from 4 exons.